Molecule: long non-coding RNA, 2540 nt
Filed under: Olea europaea subsp. europaea
Lineage: Eukaryota; Viridiplantae; Streptophyta; Magnoliopsida; Lamiales; Oleaceae
Source: RNAcentral
CUCAAGAUAUUAUUAUGUCUGUUUGCAAAGAAGCAAAGACGAGACAUUAGAAGCAUUUAAGCAAUACAAGAAUGAUGUUGAGAAUCAACUUAGCAAACGAAUAAAAGUUAUUUGUAGUGAUGGAAGUAGAGAAUAUGGAGCACCGUUUGAAGAAUUUGUUUGGAUUUUGGAAUUACUCAUCAAACUACAGCUCCUUAUUCACCUCAAUUGAAUGAUGUUGUUGAAUGUAAAUAUCUUACCCUUAAAGGGAUAUGAAUGCUAUGUUAAUUAGUUCUAGUUUAACUUGAAACUUGUAGAGGGUAAGUAAGUCUCUCAACCAACCACAUUCUUAAUAAAAUACCAUCUAGAUGUAAGAACGAAACUUCUUUCAAGUUAUGGAAAGAUUACAAACUUUCAUACAAAUACUUAAAAAUAUGGAUAUGUUUGGCUAAGGUAGCAGUGCCAAAGCUUAAACAAGUUAAAAUAUGGCAAAAAACUAUUUACUGAAUAUUUAUUGGAUACACUAAUAAUAAAUGCAUAUCGGUUCCUCGUAUAUAAGUUAGACAAUCCUGAUGUACAUGAGAAUACUAUCAUUGAAUUUAGGAAUGGUGUAUUUUUUAAAGACAAAUUUUCUUGUAAGGAUAGGAAAGAAGUUCACAAAAAUAAAAUUAUGUUACUAUAAUGGGUAGUCAUUAAAGUUAUGAAAAAUUACGAUGUAGUAAUAGGACCAAAACAGCUACAUCUUUUGGUCCAAAAUAUUUAACUUAUUUGUUAAAAAAUGAACUUAAGAUAAUCUAAUAAAACAAUGUCAAAUUCAGAAGCAUCAUUCUGUAAAGCGGCUAUUAAUAAUGAAAUUGUAUCUAUUAUGUGGUAUUAUACUUAGGAGUCGAUAGAUCUCAAUCCUAAUAACAAAUCAUUAGGCUGUAAAUGAAUUAUUAGAACAAAAUCAAAGAUUGAUGGAUUGAUUGAUAAUUAUAAGGCCAAAUUGGCAAUCAAAGGAUUUAAACAAAAAGAAGUUCUUGAAUAUUUCGAUAAACACUCACACAUUAUAGGGAUAAAGUCUAUUAGAGUAUUGAUUGCAACCAUAACAUUGCAUAAUUUAGAGAUUCAUCAUAUGGAUGUUUAAACAACUUUUUUAAACGGUGAGCUUGUAACGCCCCGAGUUCGAGGAACUCGUGACAUUACAAAGAACUUAAAUUUAUAAAAUUCUACCUAAAUAGUUCAUAAAAUGUAGAAAUUUAACUUGUAUUAAAAACAUUAAGGCUCUAGAGAACUCAUUACAAAAUUUAAGAAAUUUUCGUUCAGCAAGUUUAGACUUUCAGCUUGUACGACUUUCUGAAAUAAAUCUCGUUCAACAAAUAAAUGAAGUCCAAAAUUUACAAAAUUUUAACUGUAGAUAUCAUGCACAUAGGGGAAUUACAGGUUAAAAUUUCGUAGAUAAAUUCAAUCAAUAAAUUGGUCAAAAAUUCUUUCUAAAUCGGGGCAAUUUGUUCCCAGGUACAAUCUGACAGCUAUUGGGAAAAUUUUCAUAACUUGAGUUUUAUAGAUCCAAAAUUCAUGAUUCCAAAUCCAAGGGAUAGAUAACUUAUAUGGAUAUCUUUUUCAAUUCGAAUUACCUCAAAAUUCCAAGUAUUGAGAUCCGGGUGGAUUUUUAAACUUAGGCAGAAACUGGAAAUAUUUAGUUUCCAAUAGUGUAACUCAAAUGAACUGAAUCAAGCCACCAUAAAAAAAAUAUUAAGCAAGUUCAUCAUCAGAUCAGCUUCAAGUUUUCAAGAAACACUAAUUUAAAAUAUCCCGAAUUUAUCGGCCAUAGCAAAAUGUAAAAAAAUAGUGGCAAUAUAAAACAUAAGAAUAAAUUUCUCUAAAAAUAGUAUGUGCCAUUCAUGCCAAUCCACCACUGGAUCUCCGAUUAUUCUGAAAAGGGUUAAAUAAGGGUGAGCAUCUCAAAGAAAUACUAAGUAGGCUACACGUGUUAUAUGAACAUAAUAAUUGUCUAUUUGAUCUUGUAUUCUUGCAUUUUGCCUUCAUAAAUAAGUAAAUCGAUGAUCAAACGAUCUACCUAGGAUUUUGAUGAGCCUCUGCAACCAUCAGUUUAACAUAUACACUUAAGGUUCUGAUAAUCCUCUGCGACCAUCAGUUUAAACAUAUAUAAACCUUCCUUUCAUAAAAAAUUUAAGAUAAAAAUUCUAAGGGCACUUUAUGUACUUCAUGCAAUUAUAACGAAUAACGUGCUUAAUUGAAAACUAAAUUCAUAUAACGACAACUUCGCAUAGGGAUCCUACCUUAACUUGCAAUAAUAUAGUAGUGAGUGCGUUGAUCAAUUUCGAAUCUUCAACAUGAAAUAUAUUCUGCCUUUCUAUCUUUUCUUUUGUGUGGCAGCCAUAUCCAUAUGAUAUUUAUUCCAUGUGUGCUAUGCAUGUUAUGUAUCUAGAGUUAUCUAUCGUCAAUUGGAAUUCAUGAGUAAUUAGGAGUCUUUUCCAUGUCACUCACAAGGAUGAGAUAAGGACAGAUUUUAAACAAAAAAUGGUUUCCUAGUAAAGCUUGAAGUCCACAUGUGAAAG